RNAcentral lists this ribosomal RNA (253 nucleotides) under uncultured bacterium. Its description in RNAcentral is "partial 16S ribosomal RNA". It matches the Rfam family "Bacterial small subunit ribosomal RNA", at positions 524 to 776 of the family's 1533-position model. The record is from RNAcentral.
UACGAAGGGAGCUAGCGUUAUUCGGAAUUACUGGGCGUAAAGCGCACGUAGGCGGGCUGUUAAGUCAGGGGUGAAAUCCCGGGGCUCAACCUCGGAAUUGCCUCUGAUACUGGCAGCGUUGAGUUCGGGAGAGGUUGGUGGAAUUCCUAGUGUAGAGGUGAUAUUCGUAGAUAUUAGGAAGAACACCAGUGGCGAAGGCGGCCAACUGGACCGACACUGACGCUGAGGUGCGAAAGCGUGAGGAGCAAACAGG